This is a long non-coding RNA of Leopardus geoffroyi (Geoffroy's cat), 1993 nucleotides long. RefSeq lists it as uncharacterized. The record is from RefSeq and is a predicted model, not a curated record. The transcript is spliced from 4 exons. Lineage: Eukaryota; Metazoa; Chordata; Mammalia; Carnivora; Felidae.
UUAAAAAAUACACGUAUAUACAACUCAGCACUUGCAAGCACAUCUACAGUGCACUAUAUUCCUAGGAAGAGGCGGGAUCCUGGAAUAAUGAAAAGGCAUUCAUUUGGGUAGAAGCCAACUGGAAGUUGAGUGAUCUAAGGUCCUAGGGAAGAACAGAAGCACAAGAAAGUACUUGAGGACAAAAGCCACCCAACUAGGAGCCCCUAACUGGGUCGUCACUUGAGUAAGACACGAAUGUCUACACGUUAAGCCCUGAAAUUUAGAGGUUUACUUGUUCAGCAACUAGCGUGGCCCCAGUGAACCAGUUCUAUCCCUACUGGUACAUGAUUUUAACAACGCUUCCUAAGUUCUCUGAGCCUCAGUGUCCACAUCUGUAAGAUGAAACUAAUAAUGCUCCUUUCCAGGUAUGUGGUGGUAAUUAAAUUGAGCAGGGAAUCGGGAUGUGAACCUGGAACAUUGUAAGUCUUCAAUAAAGGUUUGUUGGCUUCACUUGGUUUUUUCCAAGGAAUAGAGACUAAGAAUGGCCAGCGGCCGCAAGGAGGUAAAUAAAACUUAGAAGAGUAUCACUAAGCAUAGGAAAAAGUUGCCUGGAAACAGAUAUAGGGGGAAAUAAAAAAUUGUAAAUACGAUUUUCUCCCAUGUAACAGGAGGUAUGUGUUUCCAUCUGGAAGUUCUUUCCCCUUGCGCAGUUCUUAGUGUUGGGACAACUUGGAACUGAAACUGGACGUGAGGCAGGAAAACAACUGCUUAAGACCUGUUCCUCCUCUGCCUUUGGUUCACGUGUUGUUCUUCCCCAUUAAACUGAGUGCAUCCUGGGAGGGCAGACAGGAACUUUCUAGAAGAGAGGCAUGUAAGCAGAAGUGACGCACGUCACUUCUAGGCCUGGUUCCGGAAACCUUGCACGUGUCCCACCCCCCCCCAACAUUCUUUCCCCUUCCUGCUCGCAGAAGUGCCAAGGAUUAGGAUGACUCUGAAAGCCACGCAUUGAGACCUGCAGAGCCACUGUCAGCCAGCGUCCCUGAGUGACCACACAGAGCGGAGCCACCCACCAGCCUGAACUGUCACAAACCACUGAUGUAAUUAAAAUUCUGGAACGCGAGGUCUCUUUGUUACAGCAGCUAGUGUCAGCUUAACCAACCCAGACUUGCACAUCUUAGUAUCCCCAGUGCCUCCAACGGAGCACAGCUCUGUUAUCGACUCAAUGAUCAAAAUGCAACACGUGUACCUGGGAAGCAGAGCUCCCCAGAAUGGCUCCCAGUUCUAGGAAAAACAAAAUAAAAUCUUACUCCUUAAUAUGAGGGGAAAAGGUCAGAAAGAAAUGGAAACACUGGAGUCAGCAAGUAUCUGGCCAAGCCAUCUGGAGGAUACAUACAAUCCAGACAAUAUCAGCAUAUGAGGUCGUCAUCUGCUAUUUCUUCCACCAGCAUUAUCUCCCUUCAUUUAAGGACAGGAGUGUCUUCUGAAUGCUGGGACGUCACUCGCCUGGAUGCUUGCCUUAACAAGAUGACAGCCACAGGACCUUCUGGUUGAUGACAGCUGAUGGCGCUCCUGGUUCCAGAGAACAGAUCUGGCUGUCUAGAGUCGAAGAGAAGUUGUUGCACGUUCUUGGCGCCUGAAAGAUCACGGACUCCUUUGAGAAUGUGAGGAAAGAUGUAGACGCACUUCCCGUUAAAGCAUGCUGUGGAAAAUCACUGAAGGAAGAGGGGCUGAAAUGAUGGGCCAGCCCUCGCUAAGAAAACACCCAACCCAACACGCACACAACGAGCAAGACGCAUCUCAUCUCUAUGAUUCGUAUUUGUUUUUCUGUCUCAGGUCAUUUAUCUGAACACGGAGACCUUUUCGUUUCCAGCCAGAGUAUGAAAGAAGGUUUGGCUUCAUAAUCUUAAGAGCUUGAAAUUUUGGCACACCUGUAUUAGCUACCAUAUUCUCGGGUUGAAUCUUCUCCACAGCAAUAAAUCUCAGAAAAAAAAUAAAAGUAAGAUGAUGCAGUAUA